This 22-nucleotide non-coding RNA is filed under the name Rattus norvegicus (Norway rat). The record is from RNAcentral. Lineage: Eukaryota; Metazoa; Chordata; Mammalia; Rodentia; Muridae.
UCCCGCUGAACUGAGCUCGCCA